UAUGACCACAUCAUGUUGAAACAUUGGUUCCCGUAUGAUCACUAAAGUUAAGCAGUGCCGAGACUGGUUAGUACCUCAAUAGAUGGCCACUUGGGAAUACCAGGAACUGUAAG
Molecule: non-coding RNA, 113 nt
Organism: Acanthosepion pharaonis
Lineage: Eukaryota; Metazoa; Mollusca; Cephalopoda; Sepiida; Sepiidae
Source: the annotation of a GenBank genome assembly